UACAGAGGGGGCAAGCGUUAUUCGGAAUUAUUGGGCGUAAAGGGCGCGUAGGCGGCUUUGCAAGUGGCGGGUGAAAUCCCUCGGCUUAACCGAGGAACUGCCUGCCAGACUGUGAGGCUUGAGACCGGGAGAGGUGAGUGGAAUUCCCAGUGUAGCGGUGAAAUGCGUAGAUAUUGGGAGGAACACCAGUGGCGAAGGCGGCUCACUGGACCGGAACUGACGCUGAGGCGCGAAAGCGUGGGGAGCAAACAGG
This 253-nucleotide ribosomal RNA is filed under the name Acidobacterium sp. RNAcentral's name for it is "partial 16S ribosomal RNA". It matches the Rfam family "Bacterial small subunit ribosomal RNA", at positions 524 to 776 of the family's 1533-position model. RNAcentral also lists the same sequence under 1 other name. Lineage: Bacteria; Pseudomonadati; Acidobacteriota; Terriglobia; Terriglobales; Acidobacteriaceae. The record is from RNAcentral.